GAAAGUACAAAAGGGCGUACGGUGGAUGCCUAGGCUCUUACAGGCGAUGAAGGACGUGAUAAGCUGCGAUAAGCUGUGGGAAGGUGCAAAUGACCUUUGAUCCGCAGAUUUCCGAAUGGGACAACCCGGCAGGUUGAAGACCUGUCAUCCCGCUAAGCGGGAGGCUAACGAGGGGAACUGAAACAUCUUAGUACCCUCAGGAAAAGAAAAUAACAAUGAUUCCCCCAGUAGUGGCGAGCGAACGGGGAAGAGCCCAAACCGUGGAGGUCUCGGCCUUCACGGGGUUGUAGGACCACGACGUUGGACUUGGUUCGAUUAGAGGAACGUUUUGGAAAGAACGACCAUAGAGAGUGACAGUCUCGUACUCGACAAUCGAAUCGGCCAUAGUGGUAUCCUGAGUAGGGCGGGACACGUGAAAUCCUGUCUGAAUCCGGCGGGCCCAUCCGCCAAGGCUAAAUACUCGUAAGAGACCGAUAGCGAACCAGUACCGUGAGGGAAAGGUGAAAAGCACCUCUGUCAGAGGAGUGAAAAAGUUCCUGAAACCGUACGCCUACAAGCGGUCGGAGCAUCUUUAUGAUGUGACGGCGUGCCUUUUGCAUAAUGAACCUACGAGUUGCCGUCGUCGGCAAGGUUAAGCGCAACGAUGCGCGCAACCGAAGCGAAAGCGAGUCUGAAUAGGGCGCAUAGUCGGCGGUGGCAGACGCGAAACCAAGUGAUCUACCCUUGUCCAGGUUGAAGUCCCGGUAACACGGGAUGGAGGACCGAACCGAUAAGCGUUGAAAAGCUUCCGGAUGAGGUGAGGGUAGGAGUGAAAGGCCAAUCAAACUUGGAGAUAGCUCGUACUCCCCGAAAUGCAUUUAGGUGCAGCCUCGGGCGUUCCCUGUGUGAGGUAGAGCGACUGAUUGGAUGCGAGGGCUUCACCGCCUAUCAAGUCCAGACAAACUCCGAAUGCACACAGGCUAAGCCCGGGAGUGAGGGCGUGGGUGCUAAGGUCCACGCCCGAGAGGAGAAGAAUCCUGAUCACCGGCUAAGGCCCCGAAAUCCGGGCUAAGUUAAACUAACGAAGUGUGGUCCCCGUGACAGCUAGGAUGUUGGCUUGGAAGCAGCCAUUCAUUCAAAGAGUGCGUAACAGCUCACUAGUCGAGGGACUGUGCAUGGAUAAUAAUCGGGUAUGAAGCCCGGUGCCGAAGCCGUGGGAUGUCUUAAUGACAUCGGUAGGGGAGCAUUCAUGCGGCCUUGAAGCCCAAGGGACGACCUUGGGUGGAGCUUCAUGAAAAGCAAAUGUAGGUAUAAGUAACGAUAAAGAGUGUGAGAUGCACUCUCGCCGAAAGACUAAGGUUUCCGGGGCAACGUUAAUCGUCCCCGGGUCAGUCGGGACCUAAGGCUCAUCCUAAUGGAGAGGCCGAUGGCAGAAACGGUUAAUAUUCCGUUACUAUCCUUUGGGGCGAUGUGGAGACGGAGGAGUGAAACUUCCGCGGGCUGACGGAAUAGCCCGUUAAAGAUCGUAGGCGUCGACGAGGGCAGGCAAAUCCACCCUCCGAGCUGAAAGUCGACAGUAUGCAGCGUCUUCGGACAAUGCAAUAGCGAAGGUAAGCAUACUCCCGAGAAAAUCCGCUAAGCUUAACCCAUUGGAUACCCGUACCGCAAACGGACACACGUAGUCGGGUAGAAUAUACUAAGGCGCUUGGAAGAUUCAUGGUUAAGGAACUAGGCAAAUUGACCCCGUACGUUCGCAAUAAGGGGUCCUCGUCGCAAGGCGAGGCGCAGAGAAUAGGUCCAGGCAACUGUUUAACAAAAACACAGGGCUGUGCAAAAUCGAAAGAUGAAGUAUACAGUCUGACACCUGCCCGGUGCCGGAAGGUUAAGAGGAGAGCUCAGAGGCAACUCGAAGGUUUGAAUUGAAGCCCCGGUAAACGGCGGCCGUAACUAUAACGGUCCUAAGGUAGCGAAAUUCCUUGUCGGGU
RNAcentral lists this ribosomal RNA (1964 nucleotides) under human metagenome. RNAcentral's name for it is "bacterial LSU rRNA". It matches the Rfam family "Bacterial large subunit ribosomal RNA", at positions 1 to 1977 of the family's 2925-position model. The record is from RNAcentral.